Molecule: long non-coding RNA, 444 nt
Filed under: Pan troglodytes (chimpanzee)
Lineage: Eukaryota; Metazoa; Chordata; Mammalia; Primates; Hominidae
Description: lncRNA (ENSPTRG00000054650.1)
Source: RNAcentral
CUUACUUUGGUUUUCGUCAAUCUUAUUGAGAGGAUGUGGAUAAGGAAUACGUAACCCACAGCAUUGCCGUGAGAUGACGUAACUCCAGCGCUGAGCUUAGGCCACUGCCUGGCCUGUUGAAGUGUUCACCCAGCCUUAGCUUGCAGGAAAUGCUGCCUUUGGAGCCAACAACUAUGGAUGUGUUGUCCAGAGGAAACCUGUGGAUCAAGCAAGGAUGCCUACAAAAAGACUAAUUUCCCAGUAAUCCAACUUAUUCCAAACACUCCACCCACAAGGCAGCAAGUGAGGGAAAAAAUAGAAUUCUGCUUGAAGAUGCUUUUCAGUCAACUCUCUCUAGCUCAUAAACCAGCGCUUCUCCAAGAGUGUUAUGAACCCUGCACCCUCCUUGUCAAUGCUGAUUUCUGCACCCAUCUCCCAGUUACCAUCUGGAAUAGAAUCCAGUAG